GGGGAUUUAGCUCAGUGGUUACGGUGCCUGCCUUGCAAGCACAAGGUCCCAAGUUCGAUCCCUGGUACCCCCC
Molecule: non-coding RNA, 73 nt
Organism: Heterocephalus glaber (naked mole-rat)
Lineage: Eukaryota; Metazoa; Chordata; Mammalia; Rodentia; Bathyergidae
Source: Rfam